Molecule: ribosomal RNA, 535 nt
Filed under: uncultured bacterium
Lineage: Bacteria
Description: bacterial SSU rRNA
Rfam family: Bacterial small subunit ribosomal RNA
Source: RNAcentral
AAUAGAUACCCCGGUAGUCCACGCCGUAAACGAUGAGUGCUAAGUGUUAGAGGGUUUUCUGCCCUUUAGUGCUGCAGCAAAACGCAUUAAGCACUCCGCCUGGGGGAGUACGGCCGCAAGGCUGAAACUCAAAGGAAUUGACGGGGGACCCGCACAAGCGGUGGAGCAUGUGGUUUAAUUCGAAGCAACGCGAAGAACCUUACCAGGUCUUGACAUCCUCUGACCAUCCUAGAGAUAGGACCUUCCCCUUCGGGGGACAGAGUGACAGGUGGUGCAUGGUUGUCGUCAGCUCGUGUCGUGAGAUGUUGGGUUAAGUCCCGCAACGAGCGCAACCCUUGUCCUUAGUUGCCAGCUAUUCAGUUGGGCACUCUAAGGAGACUGCCGGUGACAAACCGGAGGAAGGUGGGGAUGACGUCAAAUCAUCAUGCCCCUUAUGACCUGGGCUACACACGUGCUACAAUGGAUGGUACAAAGGGCUGCGAAGCCGCGAGGUGGAGCCAAUCCCAUAAAACCAUUCUCAGUUCGGAUUGCAGGU